CCUACGGGCGGCUGCAGUGGGGAAUAUUGGACAAUGGGGGGAACCCUGAUCCAGCCAUGCCGCGUGUGUGAAGAAGGCCCUCGGGUUGUAAAGCACUUUCAGUGAGGAAGAACGCCUGGUGGUUAAUACCCAUCAGGAAAGACAUCACUCACAGAAGAAGCACCGGCUAACUCCGUGCCAGCAGCCGCGGUAAUACGGAGGGUGCGAGCGUUAAUCGGAAUUACUGGGCGUAAAGCGCGCGUAGGUGGCUUGAUAAGCCGGUUGUGAAAGCCCCGGGCUCAACCUGGGAACGGCAUCCGGAACUGUCAAGCUAGAGUGCAGGAGAGGAAGGUAGAAUUCCCGGUGUAGCGGUGAAAUGCGUAGAGAUCGGGAGGAAUACCAGUGGAGAAGGCGGCCUUCUGGACUGACACUGACACUGAGGUGCGAAAGCGUGGGUAGCAAACAGGAUUAGAUACCCUUGUAGUC
This 465-nucleotide ribosomal RNA is filed under the name Vreelandella stevensii. RNAcentral describes it as "partial 16S ribosomal RNA". It matches the Rfam family "Bacterial small subunit ribosomal RNA", at positions 338 to 795 of the family's 1533-position model. The record is from RNAcentral. Lineage: Bacteria; Pseudomonadati; Pseudomonadota; Gammaproteobacteria; Oceanospirillales; Halomonadaceae.